This 20-nucleotide ribosomal RNA is filed under the name Jianyunia sakaguchii. RNAcentral's name for it is "partial 26S rRNA". The record is from RNAcentral. Lineage: Eukaryota; Fungi; Basidiomycota; Agaricostilbomycetes; Agaricostilbales; Jianyuniaceae.
UCGACCUCAAUCAAGUAGGA